AAUAAGCGGAGGAAAAGAAACUAACAAGGAUUCCCCUAGUAACGGCGAGUGAAGCGGGAUGAGCUCAAAUUUAAAAUCUGGCAGUCUACGAUUGUCCGAGUUGUAAAUUCGAGAAGUGUUUUCCGCGGCGGCCUGUGUACAAGUCCCUUGGAAUAGGGCGUCAUAGAGGGUGAGAGUCCCGUCCUUGACACAGAUUACCGUUGCUUUGUGAUACACUCUCUAUGAGUCGAGUUGUUUGGGAAUGCAGCUCAAAUUGGGUGGUAAAUUCCAUCUAAAGCUAAAUACUGGCGAGAGACCGAUAGCGAACAAGUACCGUGAGGGAAAGAUGAAAAGCACUUUGGAAAGAGAGUCAAACAGUACGUGAAAUUGUUGAAAGGGAAACGAUUGAAGUCAGUCGUGCCUGCCUUGUUCAGCCGUCCUUGUGACGGUGUAUUCAUGGUUUGGCAGGUCAGCAUCACUUUGGGCGAGUCGACAAGGGAUUCGGGAAUGUGGCAUCCUCGGAUGUGUUAUAGCCCGUUUUCGCAUCGGCUUGGCUGGAGUGAGGAACGCAGUGCGCCCGCAAGGGUAGGUCUUCGGAUACUUUCGCACUUAGGAUGCUGGCGUAAUGGCUUUAAACGACCC
Molecule: ribosomal RNA, 621 nt
Filed under: Cystofilobasidium capitatum
Lineage: Eukaryota; Fungi; Basidiomycota; Tremellomycetes; Cystofilobasidiales; Cystofilobasidiaceae
Description: eukaryotic LSU rRNA
Rfam family: Eukaryotic large subunit ribosomal RNA
Source: RNAcentral